Molecule: ribosomal RNA, 274 nt
Filed under: uncultured bacterium
Lineage: Bacteria
Description: partial 16S ribosomal RNA
Rfam family: Bacterial small subunit ribosomal RNA
Source: RNAcentral
AUACGUAGGAUCCGAGCGUUGUCCGGAUUUACUGGGCGUAAAGGGUGCGUAGGCGGCUUGUUAAGUCUCAUGUGAAAUCUCCCGGCUUAACUGGGAGGGGUCAUGGGAUACUGGCAGGCUUGAGGUCAGUAGAGGAGAGCGGAAUUCCCGGAGUAGCGGUGAUAUGCGUAGAUACCGGGAGGAACACCAGAGGCGAAGGCGGCUCUCUGGGCUGCACCUGACGCUGAUGCACGAAAGCGUGGGGAGCGAACCGGAUUAGAAACCCAAGUAGUCC